Molecule: non-coding RNA, 241 nt
Filed under: Anaerococcus lactolyticus ATCC 51172
Lineage: Bacteria; Bacillati; Bacillota; Tissierellia; Tissierellales; Peptoniphilaceae
Description: Bacterial small subunit ribosomal RNA
Rfam family: Bacterial small subunit ribosomal RNA
Source: Rfam by way of RNAcentral
CUGGUAGUGGGGGAUAACGUCCGGAAACGGGCGCUAAUACCGCAUACGUCCUGAGGGAGAAAGUGGGGGAUCUUCGGACCUCACGCUAUCAGAUGAGCCUAGGUCGGAUUAGCUAGUUGGUGGGGUAAAGGCCUACCAAGGCGACGAUCCGUAACUGGUCUGAGAGGAUGAUCAGUCACACUGGAACUGAGACACGGUCCAGACUCCUACGGGAGGCAGCAGUGGGGAAUAUUGGACAAUG